ACCACAAAUGUGUCAGAAAAACACCCCAAUUCAGCCUCAGCUUCAAGGACGCACACUUGUUAACAAUGACUGAUUCAAACUCACUGGAUAAGAAGCGAGCAGAAGAUGGGGACAGUGGUUGUAAAAAGAGUAGAAAAAAGGAGAAGAAGGCGGAUACGUGGAGACCAGAGGGACCCAGGGACCCUUUUGCAGUGCUGGAUGCUCUUCCAGAGAAGAAGCAGCAGGAGAUCCAGAGAGCUCUCCACCUCUUCUCACUGGGCCCGAGCCUGCCAAAAACCAUGCAGCAGGCCAAGAAACGAACAUACCGCUUUUGGGACACACAGCCUGUCCCUAGACUGGGUGAAAGGACAGAGACUCAUGGUCCUAUACUGGAGGGUGAAGCCAGCGUCCGUAAGGAGCCCUUUUCCCUUCCUCAGGGGUUCUCCUGGGACACCCUAGACCUCAGCAAUCUCACAGUGAUGAGAGAGCUUUGUAAUCUACUAAACGACAAUUACAUGGAGGAGGAUGACAACACUGUCAGAUUUGACUUCUCUCCAGAGUAUCUGCAAUGGGCUUUACAGCCUCCUAACUGGCUGUCAGAGUGGCACUGUGCUGUGCGAGUAGACACCAAUAACAAGUUGGUGGGCUUCAUUGCUGCUGUUCCUGCAGACGUGUGCAUUUAUGAGACGGAGAAGCGGAUGGUGCAGGUCAAAUUUCUGUGUGUUCACAAGAAGCUGCGCCUAAAGCGGAUGACUCCAGUUUUGAUCCGAGAGCUCACCAGACGGGUCAAGCAGCAGGGAAUCUACCAGGCGUUCUACGCAGCUGGUAUAGUGCUGCCCACACCGCUGAGCUCCUGCAGGUACUGGUGUCGUCCUCUGAAUCCCAGAAAGCUGGUUGAUGUGGGCUUCCAAGGUUUGAGACAGAACAUGAACCUGCAGACAGCGCUCAAAUUCAACCGUCUGCCUGAGGUGACAAAGACACCUGGCCUGCGCCCAAUGACUAAAGCAGAUGUUGUGGGGUUACAAUCAGUUCUUCAGUCGCAUCUCCGAAAGUUUCAACUCAGCUCCGUGCUGUCUUCAGAGGAAGUAGAGCACUGGCUAUUGCCGAGGGAGAAUGUGAUUGACACCUAUGUGGUUGAGAGUGAUGAUGGCACACUGACAGAUGUGGUGAGUUUCCACUGCACCUCCUACAAGGUCUUAAAUCAUCCGCUCCACACUGGCCUGAGAGCAGCAGUUCUACUUUGUGUUGCCUCGACUGCAACUGACCCGGUCAUCCUUAUGGAGGACAUUCUGGUGCUGGCUAAAUCUGUAAGUGAUUUAGAAUUAAUUCCUGUCACAUAGAGGCAUAAUGUGUGAAAUUUACAUAGCAGAUAUACAAUAUAUCCUGACUUGAUUUAUAUUAAGAGUGAAUCCAAACUUCAUCUGGUUUUGUUUUUUUAAGCUCUGUGUUUACAUUGACUGGAAAGUGCUUCCUCAAGAAAGAGAGCCCACCCUCUCAGGUGUGCUAAUGAUAGCUAGAGAGGGGAUGAAGGCUCAGCCAAGAUAUCCCAAUACCCAGUAAUGCCCUUACUUUUUGCCCCCACAAGUCAACUUUGCAGGCGGAUGGGCAGCAAACAAUAUGUUUUGUUGACGGAACCAUCAUUUGUAUGUGACAUACAAUCAACAAGUUGUUCAAGUUUUGUUGAUGGAAGUACCUGCACUAAACGUGCGCUUUUGAAAUCACUCCGCCCAGCAGCCAUGUCUGAAGUGUAGUUCCGGUUUUGCAUUUGCCUCUAAAACAACUCCGUCUUAAAAUGUUCCAUGAUUAUUUCAUAGCGUGGUGAAUGUGCAGGUCACAACUUGUCCACAAGAGCGUUUUGGAGUUGUUGGAUUGUGUAUUUGAUGAGUUCGAUGAGGGAAAGCCGGAAAUACCAUAUGUCUCCGUAGCAUUAGCUGAGCAGCUUGCAUCUCAUCCCCGCCGAUCUAAAAACAGCUUGCACUGACAGCUAAAGGUAACGAACCUACUCCUAAGACUAUAGGGAUUAUGGCAAUGGGCAAAUUUGCCAAAAUGUUGAAGUAUCCCUUUAAGACUAAAACUAAGACUUAGAUUGAAAAUAGCAGUCAAUAUUAACUUUUAAGGACAUUCAUACAAUAAUUCUGACAGUCAACAUGGUAAAAGAGGUAACAACUGAAUCACCUCUGGGCUGUAUAUCUGAAUGGAGGUCAGUCCUAGCUGCUUUUGGUUAAAUCACAGAGGAUGGGGAAGUGUGGGGGAUAGUGGGGCUCGUGUUUUCGUGGUAAAGUUCUUUACCACGGUAAAGUUUGAUAUCUAAUUGCAUCUUAUGAAUUUAAAGACAUUUAAACCUUUAAACUCUUUUGGAUGAAAUUUCAGGAAAAAAUUGCAUGCUAAAUCAAACUCAUUUCCAUACAUCUUUUCUAUGUAUCAGACAAAUGUUCUCAUCUUUAUUUAGAAAUAUGUAGUUUAAACACUUAAGGCUUUCUGAGCAUAGAUACAGCCACUUUUAUACAGUAUGUCAUUUUCAAACAAAUGGCAAAUCGGUCUGCCAGAGUUUCAUUGUUUUCACAGGUUUGGCCAUCUUUUGUGUGAUUUAAGUCCCUUUUUCAAAAAAAUGACUUUAAGCAACUGACUGCAUAUUCCUAACCCUUUUAGAGUUCAUACAGUUAGAGACCUUAGCUGUUUCUCAAAGUCCAGGAUCCUUCCUCCGUGGGAAGGAUCCUUCCGAGUCAGGACCCUUGGAGGUGAGGCCAGAGUCCUCCCUGGCAACUCUUGAACACACAUUUGGAACAGGCAAGUGAGUGUGCAUGAUUACGUUAUAGGAGGGGUCACGCCCAUAUGCACGGCGGCAGCAGAAAUCAAAAUGGGGGGUACUAACAACAACUUUCACAGUUAUACCCUGUGCUGUCUAAUAAGCUAUCACAUCAUCAUAUAAUCAUAAUAUAUAUGAUAAUAUGAUCAUAUUGACCAUUUAAUAUAUAAUAUAAUUAUAUAUUAUAUACAUAUUAUAUGACUCUACUUAUACCUGUCCAGCUUUACUUUGAUGAUAUGAAAUACCGGUAAUGAUGACAGCAUAUUCAAGGUGGAAACAGGACAUUUAAAAGUGUAUUGAGCAAAAUAGGACCUAGCUUUCUCUAGAUAUUACGGUUUUUUUUUCUUGUUUUUUUUUUUGUUUUUUUGUUUUUAAAGAGGAGGAAAACAAUGCACGUUGGUUUGUGGGUAAAUUCCUGCAAGUGGAGGAUACACAUGUGCAUCCUUGGAAAUUCUCUGUUUGAAGGACUCAGUCCUUGGAAAAAAUUUCAAGGAUCCUCGAGGUUGGAACAGUCCUCUGACAGCAGUUGUUGAAAAGGUUACGACGUCUUCUCUGCAUUUGACGUGAUGGAUAACCAGAGUUUCCUGGAGAAUCUGAAGUUCAGCGUCAAUGACUCAAGCCUUCAUUACUACCUGUACAACUGGAAGUGUCCUACUAUGAGCGCAGACAAG
Cheilinus undulatus (humphead wrasse) is the source of this 3456-nucleotide RNA transcript. It is a transcript of the gene named glycylpeptide N-tetradecanoyltransferase 1-like, with no coding region annotated. The transcript has 11 exons. The record is from RefSeq and is a predicted model, not a curated record. NCBI's taxonomy places the organism in Eukaryota, Metazoa, Chordata, Actinopteri, Labriformes, Labridae.